RNAcentral lists this long non-coding RNA (980 nucleotides) under Chinchilla lanigera (long-tailed chinchilla). RNAcentral describes it as "lncRNA (ENSCLAG00000027536.1)". The record is from RNAcentral. Lineage: Eukaryota; Metazoa; Chordata; Mammalia; Rodentia; Chinchillidae.
CCAUUUAACAGGUGAGGAAACUAAGGCAGAGAAGUAAGAAUCCUGGUCCAGUCACUCAUUUGAGGACCUGGGCUGCCAGCCAGGGCUCCUGACCUGCUGCCAGAUCCAAGCAAGAGCCUGUGCUGGGCAUAGGGAGAGAGGUACAGGACAGACGUCGGCACCAGCUCUCCAAGGCAGAGGCAUUAUCGACCUUGUCAGCCCGACUAACGACUGGAGAACCUGUACUUCCAUUUGAAGCCACAGAACAAGGCGUUUCUCCUGAAAGUGCCCAGCACAAAGUCUUCGAGGAUGACGCCUCUGUGGACAGGGGAGCCCAUCUCUGUCUUCACAGGAGAUGGAAGCCUGGAGCCCACAGCUUGCCCAGGCCUUGGCUGUGCCGUUACCAAGUGACCAGUUCUGAGGCCUCCCCCGAGGCCACUUGGGAGCUGACAGGCGGAUGUGGCUUCCCUCGUCCCAGCUCCUGCUUCCCAGCCAGGGACCCUGAGACCCAGCUCGGGGUAAUGAGGGGAAGUAACAGAUACAUCUAUUUUUAAUCCAAAUAAAGGGAAAAUGUUUGCCACCACAGAGUUUAUAAAAAUAACAAUGCAUUAUUUGGGCAUUAAUAACAAUAAAGAUGUCAAACUGUCAGAUAAGAAGUUAAUCUCAUUCUGAGCACAAUUAAAGACGCUAUUAUCCCACCACCUGGGGCCACUCUGACUUUUACCACGCAGCAGGCUUAAUAGAUAAAGGGGCCACGCACAGAGCACAGGGAGUGCUUGGCACUGCCCGCCUGCCCAGCCUGCAACAUGCUGCCACUGCCAGACCUUUCCCUCAGCGUUCCCAGCUCAAGGACUCAGGCCCAGCACAGCAGGACACUCAGGGCUGAAGGUGAGGACAGAGCAAGCUGGGACCUGGGCCUGUGCACCUGCCUGUCACCAGUCCGGCUCUGAUCCAGGACACAAAACCCCUGGCCCGUACAAUGUAUGCACCGAGGGGACCCC